Long non-coding RNA from Pristis pectinata (smalltooth sawfish), 792 nucleotides. RefSeq lists it as uncharacterized. The record is from RefSeq and is a predicted model, not a curated record. Lineage: Eukaryota; Metazoa; Chordata; Chondrichthyes; Rhinopristiformes; Pristidae. The transcript is spliced from 4 exons.
GGGACGGAGACCAUUACCGAACUGUUGCCGAAAUACCCCUUUGUGCAGAAGUUGUGAAGAGAUGUGUUGAUAUUUGCUUUGGAUUCGUCCGAACAAUUUGAUAAUCAGAGUACUUAAAUACAAGAGCUACCCAGUUCCUGGUGAUCUUGAACAUGUCUCAAAAUUCCUCACCGUUUCUAUAUAUUGACAACUCACCGUGGAUCAUACAAUCACUGAACAGGCUCCAACAGAACUAUCAUCUUCAUACUUUCUCUCUGUGCUGUCCUCAGAGGAUUUACUGCAGCAAUCAUAUGUUCUUCCACCAGAUCCCAGACGGGUUCGGCACCGUGCUCCAGGUUGGUUGCUGAUUCCAUUGAAGUUAAGGAGCUGAAAAGGAUGGAUUUUUGGGAAUCGUCAAUGAUGAAACAAAAGAUGCAAUUAUGAAGCUCAAUUACUCUAGCUGAAAAAGGUGUCAAAUGACAUUAUCGUAGAACAAGAGGAGACACAAGAGGCUACAGACGCUGGAAAUCUGGAGCAACACACAAAAGGCGCUGGAAGAACUCAGCGAGUCAGGCAGCAUCUAUAGAGGGAAAACGGACAGUUGACAUUUUGGGUUGGGACCCCUCACCUGGACUGAAAGAGUAUAAAAAGGUGGGGGGAAAAGGUGUGGAGCAAGAGCUGGCAGGCAAUAGGUGGAUCCAGGUGAGGGGAUGGGGUGAUAGGCAGGUGGGAGAGCGAGGAGAGUAGGAAUGAUGUCAGAAACUGAUAGGUGAUAGAUGGAAGUAACAAAGGGCUGAAGAAGAUGGAAUCCGA